AUGCAUGUAAUUAAGGCCCCUGUCCUGACACAGAGCAGUUUACCGCCUGCUCCCCGCCCCUCGCCCAUCGAUCUUAGCCACCCCGGCCCCUACCCCCCGUCCCGGAGGCAAACCUUGUUGGCUACUAUUGAUCGGCUCCCCCACCGUGGACUGCGUAUGUUCUCAUUGGGACAGCUGCUUUCAUCCUGCGUAAUAGGUGUAGAGUCCUGCGUGCUGCUGUGUGUGUCGAAGCAUUGCUUUCUGCUAGUGACCGGUAUUCCAUCGACUACGUGUGCCACGGUGUGUUUACCCACUCUUCCACAGAUGGAAACCUGGGCAGCUUCCACCUUGGGGAUAGUAUCAAUAAAGCAGCAGCUUACAAUAUGCUGUGAGUUUUCUAUUCGUGUGCACAUAUGUGUGUGCAUGUACAUAUGUGUGCCUGGGUGUGUGCAUGCACAUGUGUGUGCCUGGGUUGUGUACAUGCAUGUGCAUGGAUGCGUGCAUGUACAUAUGGGUGCAUGGUGUGUAUGUGUGUACAUGCGUGUGCACGUACAUAUGGGUGCCUGGGUGUGUGCAUGGAUGCAUGUGUGUACAUAUGGGCACAUGGUGUGUGUGUACAUAUGUGUGCGUGUACAUAUAUGUGCCUGGUGUGUACAUGCACGUGCAUGGAUGCGUGCAUGUACAUAUGGGUGUGGGGGGCGUGUGUACAUGCGUGUGCACGUGCAUAUGGGUGCCUGGGUGUGUGCAUGUACGUGUGUGCAUGGAUGCAUGCAUGUACACGUGGGCACAUGGUGUGUAUGUGUGUACAUAUGUGUGCACGUACAUAUGGGUGCCUGGGUGUGUGCAUGGAUGCAUGUGUGUACAUAUGGGCACAUGGUGUGCGUGUACAUAUGUGUGCGUGUACAUAUAUGUGCCUGGUGUGUACAUGCACGUGCAUGGAUGCGUGCAUGUACAUAUGGAUUUGUGUGGGGCAUGUGUACAUGCGUGUGCACGUGCAUAUGGGUGCCUGGGUGUGUGCAUGGAUGCAUGCAUGUACAUAUGGGGUGUGUACAUGUAGAUACAUGUGCAUGGAUGUGUGCAUGUACUUAUGGGUGCCUGGGUUGUGUGUGCAUGUACAUGUGUGUACAUGGAUGCAUGUGCAUGGAUAUGCAUGGAUGUGUAUACACAUGUGCAUAUGUGUGA
This 1161-nucleotide long non-coding RNA is filed under the name Canis lupus familiaris (dog). RNAcentral describes it as "lncRNA (ENSCAFG00040023581.1)". Lineage: Eukaryota; Metazoa; Chordata; Mammalia; Carnivora; Canidae. The record is from RNAcentral.